AACGACUCUCGACAACGGAUAUCUCGGCUCUCGCAUCGAUGAAGAACGUAGCGAAAUGCGAUACUUGGUGUGAAUUGCAGAAUCCCGUGAACCAUCGAGUCUUUGAACGCAAGUUGCGCCCGAAGCCAUUAGGCUGAGGGCACCUCUGCCUGGGUGUCACGC
This 162-nucleotide ribosomal RNA is filed under the name Heracleum souliei. RNAcentral describes it as "5.8S ribosomal RNA". It matches the Rfam family "5.8S ribosomal RNA". From Rfam's summary of the family: 5.8S ribosomal RNA (5.8S rRNA) is a component of the large subunit of the eukaryotic ribosome. It is transcribed by RNA polymerase I as part of the 45S precursor that also contains 18S and 28S rRNA. The record is from RNAcentral. Lineage: Eukaryota; Viridiplantae; Streptophyta; Magnoliopsida; Apiales; Apiaceae.